ACAAUUCAUUGCUUACUAGACCUAUUCCGAGUCAACUCAACCGGGUAAACUAAACUCAACAUGAGCACAAGGAGCCACUAGUCCUUCACAUCAACACCGGUUUUGUGAUCACCAUCCUCAUCAUCUACAGGCCCACAUUCCGAAUUCGAGCUAGCAUCCAAGUCCUUCUCCGGCGAGUCAAGCUGCACACACUCAGCAACCGAGUGAGACGGUGAGUUGUAUUCCGAGUCAUGGCUUCUGUUAGACGGUGUCACGUCUCCUUUCCUCACCACAUUAAACACAAUCCCGUUAUGUAUCCUCUCCGGCUGAAGAAGAUCGCCUGCAGCCACCGUGAUGCUACCACUACUACUACUGGUAUGGACCCGGUUGUUAGGGGUGUUUUCCCGUUGAUCGGCUUCGGGAUCCGAACUUCUCUCAGGCGGUACCACACGCAAGUUUUGGAAACUCCUGAGCGCCUUGUUCAUUUUCGAGUCCGUAUCUAGGUUCUGAACGAACUCGACGAACUGAUCCGCAGAAGUCGUUCUCAUCAACGGCCCACCAGAUCUCGUCCACGUAUUCAACUCCGCACUCUCUGACUCGCUAUCGCUCCCGUCGUGUAUGCGGUGGUGCCGCCAGUUACGACCGCCGUAGUGGAGGGUGGCGUCUGCUAGAUCUUCUUCUAGAGAUCCUGUUGAAUUCUCUCGUGCUAUACAGUUCCACGACGGUAUUCGUUUCGAUGCGUUAAACCGGACACUGUUUGAUCCACCGUGAGAAGCCGCAGCCGCGCGUUCGGCGCUUCGUUUCAACCUACGCAUGUGGUUUAGAAUCGCGACACACUCGUCAAGCGCGAGCUCGAUCCCGCAAUUGGCUUUUAUGGCAGAAAGCUUCUCCCAUGUGCAUCUUCGGCCUUGAUUGGCGGCUUUUUGAAGCUCCAAAUGAGACGGAUUUUGUAUGAUCUUCGAGUACUGGCAUAACGACGGUAACAUCGCCCUCCCAAUCUUGAGCAAAUAGCUUUGCAAGUCCUCCUAACGGAAAACCGAGUUCCAGAACUUGAUUGCAUCGGUGUUUCACUUCCAUUUCGACAAGAUGUGCAAGCUACAACAAGAUCAUAUAAUAUUUAAAAAAAAAAGAAAAUAUAAAAAAGCACAAAUUUUAACAGUAUAGAUUUGCAGGAAUGUACCUUUGCGGCAAAAUUGCCCCCGUAAGCUCUCACGAACUCUUUAAACCGGAGUAAAGGCGCGAUAUGUGGAUUUGCUUGACUAACGAUAAAAUGAUUUACAUUAAAAAGCUCUUUCAACUGAAUCAUGGGCAAAUCAAUCUCCAAACUACCGUCCCUCCAACGCCUGACAGACGUGCCAGUAGCUUCCUCGGGGCCCCAAUGAAAAGGCGGGUGAUACGGUACAAUUUCACCGCUUCUAUCCUUUGCCAUAAGUUCUUGAGCUUCAAAAGGCCAGGGAACGCACAAGAAGCGGUAACCGCGCUCCAUAUAACCACGUGAGGUGAAGUCAAGUAGUUUAAACAUCUUGGCGGCUCGUGUUUUCUUGGGGAACAUACGGUUAUACCAAGAACACGGCCCGUCAUAUCGUAAGCUUCUUGAAACGUAAGAUUAUUUGUUAAGUUUCGUAACAGAACUUGUAAAUGUCUAAUGUCGUGAAGCGCUCCUUGCGUCAUAACCCUUUUGAAAACAUUGAAAAUUCC
Molecule: long non-coding RNA, 1677 nt
Filed under: Helianthus annuus (common sunflower)
Lineage: Eukaryota; Viridiplantae; Streptophyta; Magnoliopsida; Asterales; Asteraceae
Description: hypothetical non coding rna
Source: RNAcentral